CCCUUAGAUGUUCUGGGCCGCACGCGCGCUACACUGAUGCAUUCAACGAGCCUAUCCUUGACCGACAGGUCCGGGUAAUCUUUGAAUCUGCAUCGUGACGGGGAUAGAUUAUUGCAAUUAUUAAUCUUCAACGAGGAAUGCCUAGUAGACGCAAGUCAUCAGCUUGCGUCGAUUACGUCCCUGCCCUUUGUACACACCGCCCGUCGCUCCUACCGAUUGGGUGUGCUGGUGAAAUGUUCGGAUCGGCCGUUUGUCGCGGUUUCCGCGUCAUGUGGCUGAGAAGUUCAUUAAACCCUCCCACCGAGAGGAAGGAGAAGUCGUAACA
This 325-nucleotide ribosomal RNA is filed under the name uncultured eukaryote. RNAcentral describes it as "partial 18S ribosomal RNA". It matches the Rfam family "Eukaryotic small subunit ribosomal RNA", at positions 1470 to 1796 of the family's 1831-position model. The record is from RNAcentral.